This 232-nucleotide long non-coding RNA is filed under the name Elaeis guineensis (African oil palm). Its description in RNAcentral is "long non-coding RNA (EGUI_LNC028177)". The record is from RNAcentral. Lineage: Eukaryota; Viridiplantae; Streptophyta; Magnoliopsida; Arecales; Arecaceae.
GAGGCUGCAGCUUAAAAAGCUGUCCUUCUUGUUCUAUUGUAGAACAAGCCACUUUUCUCUGAACCGAAUGCUACAUCUUAGUCUUUGGAUCCUAAAGGCUGCUUCACCACUUCCUCUCUUUAUAAAUUUUUGAUCCAGAGAGGCAUGAAGUAGACUUUGGCAAAUACAAUUUGAAAAUCUGCUCUUCUUUUGAAAAUCGAAGAUUUUCUCUGGCUUGCAUUAUUGUAAAACU